RNAcentral lists this ribosomal RNA (253 nucleotides) under uncultured bacterium. RNAcentral's name for it is "partial 16S ribosomal RNA". It matches the Rfam family "Bacterial small subunit ribosomal RNA", at positions 524 to 776 of the family's 1533-position model. The record is from RNAcentral.
UACAGAGGGUGCAAGCGUUGUUCGGAAUUACUGGGCGUAAAGCGUGCGUAGUCGGUAUUGAGAGUCGCGGGUGAAAUCCCAGGGCUUAACCCUGGAACUGCCUGCGAGACCUCAGUACUAGAGUGUGAGAGGGGAUAGUGGAAUACCCAGUGUAGCGGUGAAAUGCGUAGAGAUUGGGUGGAACACCGGUGGCGAAGGCGGCUAUCUGGCUCACAACUGACGAUCAGGCACGAAAGCAUGGGGAGCAAACAGG